This 253-nucleotide ribosomal RNA is filed under the name uncultured bacterium. RNAcentral describes it as "partial 16S ribosomal RNA". It matches the Rfam family "Bacterial small subunit ribosomal RNA", at positions 524 to 776 of the family's 1533-position model. The record is from RNAcentral.
UACGUAGGUGGCAAGCGUUGUCCGGAUUUACUGGGCGUAAAGAGCGCGCAGGCGGUCGUUCAAGUCGCGUGUGAAAGCCCCCGGCUCAACUGGGGAGGGUCACGCGAUACUGAUCGACUCGAAGGCAGGAGAGGGUAGUGGAAUUCCCGGUGUAGUGGUGAAAUUCGUAGAUAUCGGGAGGAACACCGGUGGCGAAGGCGGCGACCUGGGUAGAUACUGACGCUGAGGUGCGAAAGCGUGGGGAGCAAACAGG